CCUGGUGUAAUUACAAACAUGUGAACACAUUAGCACAGGUUGGAAAGGAAUUGAUCGGUCAAUAUCAAUGCAACUGAAUGUUGAAAUGAGAUGUAGAUGUGUUUAUCCUUUGUAUCCACCUGAUGAGUUAAGCCCUUUUCUACUGAUUUAAAUAGUUUGUUCUUAUGUCGUCCUGUUACACCCUGAGGUUACACUACUGUCCCAGGUUAGAGGUACGGUUUUGAGCUAGCAAACUAGUUUAACCACGCCACAUUCUGUAUGUUCCUGUCCCAAGUCAAGAGCAUGUAAUUCAGUGGUUGUUGUUUGUUUCUGUAUAUUAUAUUAGUUUUUUGUUCCUUAUUUUGUUCUUGAAGCAGGCCAUUAGUUUUCUCAUUUGAAUUGUUUUAAUUUGUUAUUUAGGGGUCUUUUUUAUAGCUGAAUAUGAGUUACUAUUUGUUGAAGGCCUUUGAAAAGUGUUAAUUUCUGUGUCAUUUGGUCUUAGGUAGAGAGUUGUCUCAUACUUUGGCAAUCAUACAACAUCUUCUUAUUUUUAUUAUAGGUUUAUUGUUGUUAUCUUAAAAUAUAUAAAAAAUAUCAAAUCUGUUUAAAGUUCUUGUCAUCUAAUCAAACUCAAUAAAGAAAAAAACACCCAACAAUCAAUUAGGAUUGUCUAUUUUCUUUCUUUUUUGGCAAGUUCUGGUCUUUUUAUGACUUAUGGCUUAAGAUUGCAUAAUUUCCCAGACAUUAUUUAAAACAAGACAUCCAAAAGUUAAACUAGUUGAUAUGUUAUUUUAGGCCAUAAUCAUGAUAAUAGUGCCUGCAGUUGUAUAUAACAUGUAGUUAUAAGUGUAGUACCAAGCCACGUCUACUUUAAACUUAUGUUAGAUGUAUAUGAUACUUUAAACUUAUGUUAGAUGUAUAUGAAUGUAUCUAUUAGUUUCCAUCUGAUGAGUUUAUUCCAUUUUCAACUGAUUUUUAUAGCUUGUUCUUAUGUUGUACUGUUAAACUACUGUCACAUGUUGGUGGAGUGCUCACAAACAUGUUUAACCCUGCCACAACUUUUAAGUGCCUCUCCCAAGUCAAGAGCCUAAGUUCAGUGAUUGUUGGUGGUUCCAAUCUAAUUAAAAUUAAAUCUCUGCAAUUGCUCCUCAUUGUUUAUAUGUUGCUCAUGGUUCAUGUUUGCCAUUCUUGAUUUUUGUAAACUGUUUUGUUAUGAAUUAGACUGUUAAUUUUUUUAAAUUGAAUUGUUUCAUAUUUUCAUAUCAGGGCUUUUUGUAUAGCCUACCUUAUGGUAUGGAUUUUUCCUCAUUAUUGAAAGCCUUAGAGUUGCCUAUAAUUGCUUACAUCCACUUUAUUUGAACUUUGGCAGAUUAUAAGCUGUCUCAUUGGCAAUUAUACCACAUCUUCUUAUUUUUUUAUAGGGUUCAAAUCAACUCAGAGGAUCCAGCUGGAUAGGAAUAGUUUUUCCAUUACUUAAUGACAAGCUACUACUGGAAGGGGAUGUUUAAUGACCUUGACUUCCCAUGAGGGUCUUGCCAGGUCUUUAAUGAUAAGCUAUAAUAGCAACAUUGGUCUUUGAUGAAUAUGUAAGAUGUCUGGAUGGGGUUAACAGAAUAUUGAAUAAUAAACAAAAAGUGCUAAACAAAAGGAAAGAAAAAUAGACAUAGAAAACAAUAAAGGAAAUUGGGUGCUAAAAUAUAAAGAAAAAAGAUAAAUGAGCAAAAAAAAUUAAAAGAAUAAAGAGAAAUGGUCUAAAUCCAUAGGAGUAAAGAAAUGAGUGACACCCCCAUCCAACAUGUCCAAACAAUCAUGUUAAUGAAAAAGUAAUCCAACAUCACAUUUCUGUUUUUAUCUAAUAGUCCUGCUCUUGAAUUUGAUCGGUUUCGUUUUUAUUUUGUUCUGCUUUUUCCUAUAUUGUAUGAGUAACCCCUACCAUAGCCCCAUUAUUACUUGCACACUGUAGGACAGAUUUAUAAUAUAUUUUACAGACUUAUGCACUUCAUGCAUACAACAGGAAAGAAAAUAAACCUCUGUGGAACACCUAACAUUCUUUAUGCAAGUAUCAACAGACCUUCAAGGUCUAUGUGAAGGUCUAUUCAAGGUCUGGUUAUGGUCAAUUAAUUUUAAAUCUGUAAAUACAUUGGGUACCUACUUUUUCAGAUAUGUCAUUUAUACAAAAUUUCAUUAUGUAUGAUUACAUUCGAGUUUAUUUUUGAACCAUGUUAUUACCUUUUUCUUCACUGUUUUUCAAACUAUCCAGAUCUGUAUAAAUUAAUUCUUCUUCGUUAUUUUGAGACAAAUGUGUCGGUUCAUCAAUCCAAACCAUUCUAUCAGAUUUACACAUUACAGGAUAUGUCGGACAAAUGACCGUUCGGACAUUAUUCACGCUUCAAAUGUUUCAUUUUUGUCAGUUUGCCUUCAUGUAAAAUUUCAAUGUUUAAAAUCCACCUAUAAAUCAGAAUUCAGUCAAGCAAAGACACAGCUCACAAGCCAAUAUUCAUAAAUUUACAUUCCAAAUUGCAUUAAAUAAAAGAUUUUGUUCACCAUAAUGCUAAAAUACUCAUCUAAAAACAGAUAUAUAAUCCUUCAACAAUGAUUUGUACGUAAAAUAUAAAGUAUCAUAUGUCCUACAGAUAUUCAGCACUAAAGUACACUGUCACAUGUACACAUAUAUAUAUAUAUAUAUAUAUAAUAUUGUAAACAAGACCAUAUAGUCUACACUUCCUCUCCACUGAAUAAAUUAAUUCAUCAAUAUUAUAACAUGUUAUUUCCAAUAUCAAAUCAUUCCACCAUUUAUUUUUUGUCACUUUGUAAUAAUGUCAAGUAUUAUGUGAAAAGAUAUCAAUAAUAUAAGAUUGCAUGUGGAUGUGU
RNAcentral lists this long non-coding RNA (2850 nucleotides) under Mytilus galloprovincialis (Mediterranean mussel). The record is from RNAcentral. Lineage: Eukaryota; Metazoa; Mollusca; Bivalvia; Mytilida; Mytilidae.